This 68-nucleotide transfer RNA is filed under the name Marmota monax (woodchuck). RNAcentral's name for it is "tRNA.Ala". Lineage: Eukaryota; Metazoa; Chordata; Mammalia; Rodentia; Sciuridae. The record is from RNAcentral.
GGAUUGUGGCUCUGCGGUAGAACACUCGUCUAGCACAUGCAAGGCCCUGGGUUCGAUCCUCAGCACCA